RNAcentral lists this ribosomal RNA (97 nucleotides) under uncultured bacterium. RNAcentral's name for it is "partial 16S ribosomal RNA". It matches the Rfam family "Bacterial small subunit ribosomal RNA", at positions 1386 to 1482 of the family's 1533-position model. The record is from RNAcentral.
CACACCGCCCGUCACAUCAUGGGAGCUGGUAACACCUGAAGUCGGUGACCGAACCGCAAGGGAGGAACUGCCUAAGGUGGGACUGGUGACUGGGAUG